AUCUAGCCUCUGUUGCACUUACUCUGUUGUUAUUCAGUUGGUUUCAGUGGCACAGAGUCUAGUGAGGAGGGAGGGCGGGUCCACUUUGGAUCUGUAGCUGUACAUGUAAAUCUGUGCUUCAGUAAUGAAGUUGUGAUUUUGUUUUAGAUCCAUAAUGAGUGGUGCAUCAGGCAACAAAUCAAGAGAGGCGUGGAUGAAAACAUUCGAAACUACACCACUACUGAGGGGUUUUGGUAUUUAUUCAUAUUGGUAUUUUUGUUACAUCAAGUCACCUAAUUUUAGAUAAUGAAGGCAGACCUAGGCACAGAUUAAUGCACAGGCAGUGAUAGGCUGUAGCCUAGGGGCCUCUCAGUGCUGAUUGUUCAUUUUGAUAAUGCUACAUGAGGGACUGCCCUCAGUCAGUACCAUGUGACCUUAUCUGUGCAGAGGCUUUUGAAUCACAACAAGGUUACUGUGAACCGAACAUUUCACACAAUAUUUGUUCUCGUUAUUUCAUGUUCAGCUCCGGUGGAUCUUUACUGUCGCUGUCCAAGGCGCUGAUCCUGGGUCAUGAUGCCUGCUGUUAGUUACCAUUAAUGCUGUUUGCACGGCUGACACGAUUUAUGUUUUAAACACCAAUGAUAUUUUAGAAGUUUAGCAAUUUAUUCUGCUGUUCUGUUUACGAGCACCACUCAUUUUCUUUUAAUCUGUGCACCUCAGGCCGAACCUUGGGCUGAUAGAUUUAAAUGAUAGUUUUUGUCCUAAAUAUUGCCUUGCUGAAGGCAAGACAUUGCUGUGUUUAUUCUGAUUCCUACACAGUGGAUGAGACAGUCCCCACACCCGCCCCCUGCUCUCACACUUUUGCUCUGAAAGUAUUCAAGAAGGAAACAUAACGAACAGUUCCCCAGUGGUCUGCGGUGGAGACAAAGUUUUUUUCAUAUCUCUGCUUGAUAUUUCAAGAAUCUGGACGUUAAUUCCCCUGUUUUUAGUGCAGAGCCACAAAAGUGUGUAACUAUAUGACACAUAUUAUAUCAUCUGAUGCGUGGAGAGGAGCGGACUUCUUAAUGUGGCGUCCUUCAAGUUUAAUGGACUGAAACUGGAUGACAGAACAAUUUCUCAGAAGCAGAGCAGCAGAGCGACAGUGUCCGUGCUGGAUGUGAAGAUGGGGCACACUCUGCUCUGUGUGCUGGGCUUAUUCUUGCUGAAUACACUCCUCUACGGACAUGCUGAAGGGCAGGAUGAUGAACAAGAGAGGCGC
Long non-coding RNA from Siniperca chuatsi (mandarin fish), 1237 nucleotides. RefSeq lists it as uncharacterized. The record is from RefSeq and is a predicted model, not a curated record. NCBI's taxonomy places the organism in Eukaryota, Metazoa, Chordata, Actinopteri, Centrarchiformes, Sinipercidae. The transcript has 4 exons.